UACGGGGGGGGUAAGCGUUGUUCGGAAUUACUGGGGGUAAAGGGCUCGUAGGCGGCCAACUAAGUCAGCCGUGAAAUCCCUCAGCUUAACUGGGGAACUGCGUCUGAUACUGGAUGGCUUGGAUUUGGGAGAGGGAUGCGGAAUUCCAGGUGUAGCGGUGAAAUGCGUAGAUAUCUGGAGGAACACCGGUGGCGAAGGCGGCAUCCUGGACCAACAUUGACGCUGAGGAGCGAAAGCCAGGGGAGCAAACGGG
RNAcentral lists this ribosomal RNA (253 nucleotides) under uncultured bacterium. RNAcentral describes it as "partial 16S ribosomal RNA". It matches the Rfam family "Bacterial small subunit ribosomal RNA", at positions 524 to 776 of the family's 1533-position model. The record is from RNAcentral.